This 502-nucleotide ribosomal RNA is filed under the name uncultured bacterium. Its description in RNAcentral is "partial 16S ribosomal RNA". It matches the Rfam family "Bacterial small subunit ribosomal RNA", at positions 29 to 523 of the family's 1533-position model. The record is from RNAcentral.
AUUGAACGCUGGCGGCAGGCCUAACACAUGCAAGUCGGACGGUAGCACAGAGAGCUUGCUCUUGGGUGACGAGUGGCGGACGGGUGAGUAAUGUCUGGGGAUCUGCCCGAUAGAGGGGGAUAACCACUGGAAACGGUGGCUAAUACCGCAUAACGUCGCAAGACCAAAGAGGGGGACCUUCGGGCCUCUCACUAUCGGAUGAACCCAGAUGGGAUUAGCUAGUAGGCGGGGUAAUGGCCCACCUAAGCGACGAUCCCUAGCUGGCCUGAGAGGAUGACCAGCCACACUGGAACUGAGACACGGUCCAGACUCCUACGGGGGGCAGCAGUGGGGAAUAUUGCAAUGGGCGCAAGCCUGAUGCAGCCAUGCCGCGUGUAUGAAGAAGGCCUUCGGGUUGUAAAGUACUUUCAGCGGGGAGGAAGGCGACGCGGUUAAUAACCGCGUCGAUUGACGUUACCCGCAGAAGAAGCACCGGCUAACUCCGUGCCAGCCGCCGCAGUAA